GGUCAGUAAUUGCCUACUGGGAACUAUAAAUUAUAGUUCUCAUGCCCCCUAUUUUAUGUUUUCUUUCAGAGCCUUCCUGUAGCAUACCGGAUUUUAAAAUAAGGGUAAAAAUAAAAAUAGUGUGAGAUACUAUUUUUAUUGGACUUAUAGAAAUAAAAUAUAAGUCAGGAUCAACUCGUGCGGAAAUCGGAGCGAGAAUAGAAGAUUUUGAAUUUUCUGUGUGAAUCGAGGCUGUUAUUUUAGCAAAAUAUGCAAAGUGUCAGAAAAUUCCGAAAAUCUGAAAAAAUUUUAGGAUUAUUUUUAUGAGGCUAGAUUUAAAG
RNAcentral lists this long non-coding RNA (320 nucleotides) under Ananas comosus (pineapple). Its description in RNAcentral is "long non-coding RNA (ACOM_LNC038037)". Lineage: Eukaryota; Viridiplantae; Streptophyta; Magnoliopsida; Poales; Bromeliaceae. The record is from RNAcentral.